AGAGUUUGAUCCUGGCUCAGGACGAACGCUGGCGGCGUGCCUAACACAUGCAAGUCGAGCGGAGGUAUAUACGAAGAAGUUUUCGGACGGAAUUGUAUAUACUUUAGCGGCGGACGGGUGAGUAACACGUGAGCAACCUACCUUUUGCAGGGGAAUAACUCUGGGAAACCAGGGCUAAUACCGCAUGACGUGCACUUGGGGCAUCCUUUGUGCAUGAAAGGAUUAUAUCCGGCAGAAGAUGGGCUCGCGUCCGAUUAGGUAGUUGGUGAGGUAAAGGCUCACCAAGCCGACGAUCGGUAGCCGGACUGAGAGGUCGAUCGGCCACAUUGGGACUGAGACACGGCCCAGACUCCUACGGGAGGCAGCAGUGGGGAAUAUUGGGCAAUGGGCGAAAGCCUGACCCAGCGACGCCGCGUGAAGGAGGAAGGCUUUCGAGUUGUAAACUUCUUUGGGGAGGGACGAAGAUGACGGUACCUCCAGAACAAGCCACGGCUAACUACGUGCCAGCAGCCGCGGUAAUACGUAGGUGGCGAGCGUUAUCCGGAUUUACUGGGUGUAAAGGGCGCGCAGGCGGCCCUGGAAGUCAGAUGUGAAAGAUCAAGGCUUAAACUUUGACAGGUCAUCUGAAACUUUGGGGCUUGAGUAUCAGAGGGGAAAGUGGAAUUCCUAGUGGAGC
RNAcentral lists this ribosomal RNA (676 nucleotides) under uncultured bacterium. RNAcentral's name for it is "bacterial SSU rRNA". It matches the Rfam family "Bacterial small subunit ribosomal RNA", at positions 8 to 679 of the family's 1533-position model. The record is from RNAcentral.